AGCUUCAGCCGACCCCUGUCGGCUUCACGCGUCCCCUCACGGCUUCGUCCGCCCCAGCCCGGAGCCCUGAGGGGAGCCAUGGGCCGUCCGACCUACUUUGGUAUCUGCUCUGCCUCUGUGGGGCCUCGCUGGCUUCACGGAGCUCAGUAAAAACAAAAAAAGUCGAUACACAGUCAGACACGAAGGGAAUGGUUUAAUUCUUCUGUACAGGUAGGACAACUGGAUGGACUGCAGUAAGGAAACAGAGACAAGUGUGCCUGUGAGCUGCUGUGAGGGAGAAGAAGAGAACUCAGGGAGUUUUCUGUCAGAGACAGAAACUGUCAUGAUUAUAAACUUCACUGUAAAUGUGAAGUUCAAAGGUAAUGAAAUAAAAACUGGUUUGUGAUCCCAGUUUCCGUUCCACAAAGGGAUUUCUGUGUUCUGAGUUGUCAAGGGCAGACAGUUACCCCACAUGGGAUCCCUUCCUUGCUCCUCUCACAUCACAGCCUAUUGUAUCCCAUCAAUGUAUUUUGAAUGGUUUCACAGGAUAUUUUCUAUUAGGACAGGGAAAAUCUCAUCAAGAAGAUAUCACUCCAUGAGGAGUCACAACACCUCCAGCUCAUAUCCCAAAACUCUGGACAAAGCAUUUGCACAGCAGCCACAUUGCCAUUUUCACCCUCCACAAGUGUUGUGAUGUUCUUUUUUUGGUUCUUUGUGUCUUCUUUACAUCUAAGUUAGAGGACAAAACCAUUUACAAAUGUUCCAAAUGCAACAUUAUGUUUUCCUUUAUUGUUUUUUUUUUUUUCUUUCCAUCUUCAGUUCUGGUGCUGCUGAGGGUGGUAAGUUCCUGACUCACAUUUCCACAGCAGCAUUUUUGUUGUUCUCAUGCAGUGCAAUCAAAUAGCCCUGUCCUGAAUAAAUUCCUUGUUUCUGCUUCAUCUAUGGAUUUUCUGUAGAGAAAAUCAUCCAUUUCCAAGCCAAGCUCUAUUCAAAAUGCAACUGAGAAAGGAUGUAACAACUCACUGCUGCUCACUUUGCUUCUCUGCCUGCUCUUCACUGCCCUGUUUUGUGAAGUUUAGCUUUCAUCUCCUCUAGGCUUGAGAGAAAGCGAGGCAUUAGGAAGCCAAGGAAAUUACUGUACUUGCCAAUACACUCUUACAAGAGGAGAGGCAAAUAUUGAGAGUGAACUCCCAGUCCCUUCAGCAUUAGAAUGGAGACAGGUGCUUGUUGUUGGCUGCAGCCAUGCCAAAGUUAUCUCAUGGUUAUGGAAGCAAGGGCAGUCCAUACCAGCUGUCAUACAAUCACAGAAACACAGAAUCCCAGGGUCCCUGAGGCUGGAAAAUCCCUGCCAGCCCAUGGAGUCCCA
Non-coding RNA from Zonotrichia albicollis (white-throated sparrow), 1345 nucleotides. The record is from RefSeq and is a predicted model, not a curated record. Lineage: Eukaryota; Metazoa; Chordata; Aves; Passeriformes; Passerellidae.